RNAcentral lists this long non-coding RNA (456 nucleotides) under Homo sapiens (human). RNAcentral describes it as "non-protein coding lnc-NBPF1-1:11". Lineage: Eukaryota; Metazoa; Chordata; Mammalia; Primates; Hominidae. The record is from RNAcentral.
GGGGAGCUGUCCAGGAGGCCGGCCUGGGAAUGAGCACAGGCCUGCGGCUGGCAGAGAGCCGGGUCGAGCCAGCCCUGGAGAAGCAGGCCCAGCUGGAGGAGCAGCUGCGGGACAAGGUGCUCCACGAGAAGGACCUGUCCCAGCAGCAGAUGCAAAGCGACCUGGACAAGGCUGACCUCAGUGCCAGGAGGGUCCCUGGUGGGUGCUGCAUGAGGCAGGCGUCACUGCAGAAGAGUGACAGAGCUGGGCCUGGCAGUGAAGCGUCUACAGAAGCAGAAUCUGGAGAAGGAUCAGGUCGACAAGGACCUCACCGAGAAGCUUGAGGCCCUGGAAUCCCUGCGGCUACAGGAGCAGGCGGCCCUGGAGACAGAGGAUGGAGAGGGGCUACAGCGGAGCCUAAGGGACCUGGCACAGGUGUGAGCCCAGAAAGGCGGGAAGACAGGGCCCUGCCAGGCG